UUUGCAGGAUAAGUGUGUAUCGGUUAAAUGCUUUUUGCUGUGCAUAUAUUACUUAAAUUGUUUCCUGCUAUAUUAAUUGUAAGAAGGUGGGCAGUUGGGUUGAGCUUGAUAAUCUCUUUUGCCAACAAUCAUUUUCCACCCAUUU
This 145-nucleotide small nucleolar RNA is filed under the name Triticum urartu. RNAcentral's name for it is "small nucleolar RNA snoR135". It matches the Rfam family "small nucleolar RNA snoR135". The record is from Rfam by way of RNAcentral. Lineage: Eukaryota; Viridiplantae; Streptophyta; Magnoliopsida; Poales; Poaceae.